This 74-nucleotide transfer RNA is filed under the name Bos taurus (domestic cattle). It matches the Rfam family "tRNA". Rfam says of the family: Transfer RNA (tRNA) molecules are approximately 80 nucleotides in length. The record is from Rfam by way of RNAcentral. RNAcentral also lists the same sequence under 1 other name. Lineage: Eukaryota; Metazoa; Chordata; Mammalia; Artiodactyla; Bovidae.
UCCCUGAUGGUCUAGUGGCUAGGAUUCUGGCACUUCCAAUGCAGGGGCCCCAGGUUUGAUUCCUGGUUAGGGAA